RNAcentral lists this ribosomal RNA (468 nucleotides) under uncultured bacterium. Its description in RNAcentral is "partial 16S ribosomal RNA". It matches the Rfam family "Bacterial small subunit ribosomal RNA", at positions 28 to 507 of the family's 1533-position model. The record is from RNAcentral.
GACGAACGCUGGCGGCGUGCUUAACACAUGCAAGUCGAACGGAAAGGCCCUGCUUUUGUGGGGUGCUCGAGUGGCGAACGGGUGAGUAACACGUGAGUAACCUGCCCUUGACUUUGGGAUAACUUCAGGAAACUGGGGCUAAUACCGGAUAGGAGCUCCUGCUGCAUGGUGGGGGUUGGAAAGUUUCGGCGGUUGGGGAUGGACUCGCGGCUUAUCAGCUUGUUGGUGGGGUAGUGGCUUACCAAGGCUUCGACGGGUAGCCGGCCUGAGAGGGUGACCGGCCACAUUGGGACUGAGAUACGGCCCAGACUCCUAGGGGAGGCAGCAGUGGGGAAUAUUGCACAAUGGGCGGAAGCCUGAGGCAGCAACGCCGCGUGCGGGAUGACGGCCUUCGGGUUGUAAACCGCUUUCGCCUGUGACGAAGCGUGAGUGACGGUAAUGGGUAAAGAAGCACCGGCUAACUACGUG